GAGUUGUAUGCUUGAUCUAAAAGGUUGGGAGGCAACUGUGCAUGAGGAACCAAGUUUCUGCCCUUUGGCAGAAACCAGGUUCGGCAGCCGAAGGACUUUCGGCCGCCGAACCUGCUUGGGAGGCAAGCCUUUCGGCUGCCGAAGCCUGCCCCCGAAAGAGGACUUUCGUCUCUGGAGGGUAGUUUCGGCCGCCGAAAGUGCCGCCGAACAUGCAUGAGUUUCGUCUCUGUCUGGGAGUUUCGGCCGCCGAAGGUGCCGCCAAACCUGCCUAACUUUCGGCUCUGGAGGGACUUUCGGCCGCCGAACCUGCCGCCGAAAGUGCCCUGUUUAGCCUUCCUUUGCAUGCUUCCCAUGGAUGUUUUGAGGUGUUUUAAGGGGGUUUUUGGGGGAUGUUUUAGAGUCAUAUUCUAGUAUGUUUGGUCCCUCAUUUGAGUCCACCUUUGUAGGUUCGGACCCGAGGACCCCAGCAGUGACAACUGCUUCAGAGUCUUGUCAGAGUCAGCCAGAGGUGAGUAGAAUAAAUUCUUACGUUUUAAAUAAAUGAAAAACUUUAGCAUGAAUCAUGCAUCAUGAAUGCCAUGUGAUAUCCUAGGUUGCUUGCAUUAGAAUUCACGAAUAUGUUGCAUUGCAUAUCUUGAUGUUGAUGUGGGUGGAUAUUGGAUGACCCAUUGGUCCUCAGUAUGAUGAGACACGAUAUGAUAUGAUAUGGAAGUCCAGGUGUGGCCUGCACUACGCCCCUGGCACUAUGUAAGUGAAAGUCCGGGUGUGGCCUGCACUACGCCCCCGGCACAGUUGGACAUGUAUGUUAUGAGAUAUGUAAGAGAAAGACCAGGUGUGGCCUGCACUACGCCCCUGGCAUAGUUGGAUUAUGUAGAGGACCCUUGGUGACAAGUCCAUCCUUGAUGUGAUAUGGUUGUGAUGUGAUGCAUUACAUGAUAGCAUGUGUUUUAAUUGUUAUUAUUAUUCUGCUCACUGGGCUCUUGUAGCUCACCCCUUUCCCCUUAUCCCCCAGGUUUGCAGGUACAGGGUAGACCAGGAGGUCAGCAGGAGUAUAGUCUGUUUUUAUGUAAUAGUUAGAAGUUGUGGACAUGAUGAAAUUGAAAUGUAAUGUUUUAUGUAGUCAUGAUAUGUAAAAUGAUAUUGAGGAUUAGAGGUUGUGCUUGACCCUAUGUGUAUGGUAUUCCCUUUUUAUGCAUGAUCACUAUUAUUAACGAUGAGAUGAGUAAUCAAGCUUAAUGUAUGUUAUUGAUACCCCAUUGGAGCAUGUGAUGAGGGCUCUAGUGUGAGGUUUAUGGUUAUGUUAGUGUGCAUGCACAGGUUAAGCUUGAUUUAUGAAAUAAAAAGUUUACAUGUUUAUGUAUUUGUAUGAUCAUGUAUGGGAAUACACAGGUUUACAGGUUGUAUGUCAGGCUUGCUACAGGUCCCGACGGCCUUAAGCCGAUCUGGAUCCUAGCGCCGGUAGCGGUCCGAUUUUCGGGUCGUUACAGAAUGGUAUCAGAGCCCUAGGUUCAUAUGGUCAGACUUAGAGUGUCGGGCUCAUAGAGGUUAUAGAAGGUCAAGCACAAUAGGAAAGGUCAUGUCCACUAGGAUAGGAUGUGGAGUCCUGUCUUGUAUGAUGAUGUGAAAUGCCAUGAUUAUAUACAUGUGCAUUAAUGCUAUGAUAUGAAUAAUAUGUGUGUGAUGCGGGUUCAUGUGUGUCCACAUGAACCAUAUGAUGCUAACGUUUAUGUGAUGUGUACUGUUUUUCAGAAAACAGGAUGAGGGAAACUCGUCGAUCUGCACGAUUGGUUGGAGUGCCACCUGAGGAUGAGGGCAUGAGCGCCCGUCCUCUUGCAUUGCCUAGAGCAAUGUCUAGUAGGGCUAGCAGAGAAAGAGCAGCAAGAGACCCUAGAAGGUCUCUGGAUCUGGGUAGAAGCAGAUCAGUGAGGGGAACAGUUUAGGGAGGAAUAUCAGAGGACAUGGGGGAUGAUAUGGAUGUAGAGCAGAGGAGAGAUGGCAGUCUGGGAGUAAGCAUGUCAGAAAAGGGAAUGGGAGAGUCCCAAGGAGGCACUCAGGCCUCAGGAUUUGCUCAGCCACCCCACUACCCACACUUCUCACAAAAUCCCGGGUAUUCGAUGGGAGGUACGUCGGAUUACCCUAGCUUUACCCCUUAUCCCAUACACAUGCCAUACCCUCCCUACUACCCACCAUACCCACAGCACCCAAUGUAUCCACCCCCACCCUACUAUCCAAAUCCAGCUAACCCUACCUCAGAAAAUGUUGCACCUCCUCCACCAUCAGCAGAACCCACAGUUCCAGCAACCCAUAUGCCUAAGCCUAGCUCAUCUGGUGGGAGCAAGGUCAAGAUGACCGACUACAUGAAGCUGGGUGCUCCCCAGUUUGAAACCGGUGAUGACCCGUUUGUGUACCUUGAAAGGGUCAAAACAAUUACAGAUGAGAUAGGAGCUGAUGACAGCAGAGCCAUUCAGAUGGUUGGGUUCACACUCAAAUGCAAAAAGGCCCGUGAGUGGUUUAAGAACUAUGUGAGCCCAAGGUUGGACAGCCUAUCAUGGGAGGAGUUUGCAAAUGAAUUUGCAGGAUGGGCUUUUCCUGACAGUUCAAGAGAAUUGAAGAUGAUUGAGUUUGAACAGUUAAGGCAGACAGAGGAAAUGAGUGUAGACAAGUACACCGACAGAUUCUUGGAGCUGUUGCCGUUUGCAGGGCAAACUCUUGACACCGAUCAGAAGAAGUCAAGGAGGUAUAUCAUGAAACUUCACUCCAGGUAUUCCUCCUUGAUUCAGUCCGCAGAUAGGGAGAGCUUCCAUGCCAUAGUGGAUAUGGCUAGGAGGAUGGAGGCUAGUGCUAUCAUCGAGGGGAAAGUCAAGCAGUCAGUGGCACAGCCUUCUGGUUCUAAGACCCCAGGCUCUUCUUCUCUGAGUGUAGCAGCUUCAGGAAGUAAAAAGUGGGACAGAAGCUCUAGGAAGUCUAAGAAGAACAAGUUAUGGAAUAAGGUUAAGUCCAGUCUGGGAUUUGGUGGUGGCUCAAGCUCUGGUGCGGAUAAUGCAGUUUGUACAAGGUGUGGUAAGCCACACAAGGGAGUAUGUCGGUUUGGGACGACAGCCUGUUUUAGAUGCGGUCAUGAGGGACAUAUGGCUCGAGAGUGUCCAAGAGCAGUUCCGAUGGCUCAGUCCCAGCAGACAGCUUCUGGUAGUAUAGCACAGCCAGCAGCUCCAGCCACGACUCAGGCUAGUGGCAGAGGUAGAGGGAGAGGGGCAGCCUCUUCUUCAGCUGGUUUCAGAGGUGAAGGUCCAUCAGCUCCAGCACGGAUCUUCACAAUGACACAACAGGAGGCAGAUGCAUCUAACACCGUGGUGGCAGGUAACUUAGUCAUUGGUUGUUCAGAUGUGUAUGCCUUGAUGGACCCUGGUGCAUCUCAUUCUUUUAUUGCACCGAGAGCCGUUGAGAGGUUGGGGUUGAUGAUCUCUGGGUUAGAGUGUCCUCUCUGGGUCAGUGGACCCAAGUGUGAUCCAUCAGUGGCAGAGUCAGUCUGCCAGUGUAGUCCUGUGUUUGUUGAGGGAAGAUGCUUGUCCGCCGACCUUAUGGUUCUAGACUUGAUAGAUUUUGACGUCAUUCUAGGGAUGGACUGGUUAUCUACCCAUGGUGCUACCUUGGACUGCAGGGACAAGGUAGUCAGGUUCAGAGGUCAGGAUGGGUCAGAGGUAGUCUUCAGAGGAGACAUGAGGGGUACACCUAGAGGUCUGGUAUCAGCUCUUCAGGCUCGUAGGUUGCUUAGGAGGGGAUGUCAGGGGUAUUUGGCUCAUGUGAGGGAGCUUAGCAGUCAGGUUAGAGAGCCCGCCUCGGUGCCAGUGGUCAGAGAGUUUUCAGAUGUCUUCCCAGACGAGCUGCUAGGUUUACCACCUGCUAGGGAGAUAGAGUUCGAGAUAGAAUUGAUGCCUGAAACCCGACCGAUCUCUAUCCUCCCUACAGGAUGGCACCAGCAGAAUUGAAAGAGUUGAAAGAGCAGUUACAAGAACUGGUAGACAAGGGCUUCAUCCGACCGAGUACCUCACCCUGGGGUGCUCCAGUUUUGUUUGUGAGAAAGAAGGAUGGAUCCCUUAGACUUUGUAUCGACUACAGGCAGUUGAACAAAGUCACUACCAAGAAUAGAUACCCUUUGCCAAGGAUCGAUGAUCUAUUCGACCAGCUAGCAGGAGCGGGUUGUUUCUCCAAAAUAGAUCUGAGAUCUGGGUACCAUCAGCUGAGGAUAAGAGAGGAAGAUGUGCCAAAGAUGACUUUCAGAACCAGAUAUGGGCAUUUUGAGUUCCUUGUAAUGCCGUUCGGGUUAACCAACGCUCCUGCAGCAUUCAUGGAUCUCAUGAACAGAGUGUUUAGCCAGUACCUGGAUCACUUUGUUAUUGUCUUCAUAGAUGAUAUCUUAGUGUAUUCCAGGAAUGCAGAGGAGCAUGUCCAUCAUCUGAGGUUGGUUCUGCAGACCUUGAGGGAACACGGCUUGUAUGCCAAGUUCUCCAAGUGUGAGUUUUGGAGCAUUUCACUCUUGGGGCAUGUUGUGUCAGAAAAUGGGAUAGAGGUGGAUCCCAAGAAGAUAGAAGUUGUGGCUAACUGGCCUAGACCCACUUCAGUGUCAGAGAUCAGAAGUUUCUUGGGUUUGGCGGGUUACUACAGGAGGUUCGUUCAGGACUUCUCAAAAAUUGCAGCUCCUCUGACCAGACUAACCAGGAAAAAUCAGAAGUUUGUGUGGGCCGACCAGUGCGAAGAGAGUUUUGAAGAGCUUAAGAAGAGGUUAACGUCGGCACCAGUGUUAGCUUUGCCAACUAGCAAUGAGGACUUCACAGUGUGAUGCAUCCCGAGUGGGUUUGGGUUGUGUGUUAAUGCAGAAUGAAAGGGUGAUUGCUUAUGCUUCUAGACAGCUGAAGAAGCAUGAGUUGAAUUACCCCACACAUGACCUGGAGAUGGCAGCAGUAAUCUUUGCACUCAAGAUGUGGAGGCACUACCUCUAUGGGGUUAAAUGUGAGAUCUUUACAGAUCAUAAGAGCCUGCAGUACAUCCUGAGUCAAAGAGAUUUGAACUUGAGAUAGAGAAGAUGGGUAAAGCUGCUGAGUGACUAUGAUUGCAAGAUUCAGUACCAUCCGGGUAAGGCGAAUGUUGUGGCAGACGCCCUAAGCCGGAAGUCACUAGGCAGUCUAUCCCACAUAUCGGCAGAGAGGAGACCAGUAGUGAAGGAGUUUUACAAGCUCGUUGAUGAAGGUCUUCAGUUGGAGUUGUCUGGUACAGGUGCUUUAGUUGCCCAGAUAAGAGUGGCACCCGUGUUUCUGAAGCAGGUGGCUCAGAAACAGCAUGAGGACCCAGAGUUAGUGAAGAUUGCCAGGACUGUUCAGUCAGGCAAGGAUAGUGAGUUCAGAUUCGACAACAAGGGGAUCCUCCGCUAUGGGAGUCGAUUGUGUGUACCAGAUGACAUAGGGCUAAAGGGAGACAUUAUGAGAGAGGCUCAUAAUGCAAGAUACAGCGUUCACCCCGGAGCCACCAAAAUGUAUCAAGAUCUGAAGAAAGUUUAUUGGUGGCCAACUAUGAAGAGAGAAGUGGCACAGUUUGUGUCAGCCUGCGAAUUGUGUCAGAGGGUGAAGCUGGAACAUCAGAAGCCGGCUGGAAUGCUUAACCCGCUACCUAUUCCAGAGUGGAAAUGGGAAAAUAUAGCUAUGGACUUCGUAGUGGGGUUACCGGCGACGUCCAACAGAUUGGACUCCAUAUGGGUGAUUGUGGACAGACUCACCAAAUCUGCUCACUUCAUCCCUGUCAGGAGUGGCUAUUCUGUGGACAAGUUAGCGCAGGUGUAUGUCGAUGAGAUCGUCAGGCUGCAUGUGGUUCCUGUUUCAAUAGUGUCCGAUAGAGGACCCCAAUUCACCUCCAGAUUUUGGUGGAGUCUGCAGAAUGCCAUGGGUACCAGGUUGGAUUUUAGCACUGCUUUCCAUCCGCAGACGGACGGACAAUCAGAAAGGACCAUCCAGACCAUAGAGGAUAUGCUCAGAAUGUGUGUGCUGGACUUUGGCGGUUCUUGGAGGCAGCAUCUACCUUUGCCUACAAUAACAGUCAUCAUGCUAGCAUCGGGAUGGCUCCAUAUGAAGCUUUAUAUGGAGGAAGUGCAGAUCACCUGUUUGCUGGGAAGAGGUUGGAGAAAAGGCCUUGGCAGGGCCUGAGCUAGUAGAGAUCACUAGCAGGGUGGUACCCAUAAUCAGAGAAAGGAUCAAGACUGCUGCAAGCAUACAUAAGAGUUAUGCAGAUAUCCGCAGAAGACAAGUAGAGUUUCAGGAGGGGGAUAUGGUAUUGCUCAAGGUGUCUCCUAUGAAAGGAGUGGUUCGCUUUGGGAAGAAAGGUAAACUAGCCCCACGAUACAUCGAACCCUUUGAAAUCUUGCAAAAGAUUGGGAAUGUGUCGUACAAGCUGGAUUUACCUGCUUCAAUGGAAAGAAUCCAUCCGGUUUUCCAUGUUUCAAUGUUGAGAAAGUUUGUGUCAGAUCCGGGUAAGGUUCUUAGUGAGCCUGAUGUGGAGAUCCAAGAGGAUCUCACCUAUAUUGAACAGCCAGUACGGAUCAUAGACACCCAGAUCAAAAAGCUAAGGAACAAGGAAAUCCCGAUGGUGAAAGUCCUUUGGAACCACCACAAUAUGGAAGAAUGCACCUGGGAGACACGGGAGUCUAUGCUCCAGCAGUACCCUCAUCUCUUUUAAGGUUAGAUCUCUAUGUGUUUAUGUGCUAUGUAUGUAUGUUAUAUUGAUUGCUGUGCUUGUGCUAGUUGGGGAACAUUCGGGGACGAAUGUUCUUAAGGGGGAGAGAAUGUAAUACCCGGCUAGACUCCGGUAUCAGAAUUCCUACCGUCCGGUGGAAUCUCGGAUGUCGGAAGCCUCUAGUAGGGUAGAAACAUGUUUUCAUAAAAUGUUUUAAUGUAUUUUAUGGUUUUAAUCAAGUAAGAAAUGAGUUUUUUUGCAUGAAAAUAAUCUUGGAGGAAGACCCAGGUUCGGCCGCCGAACCUCAAGUUCGGCCGCCGAACAUGCAUGCACUUCGGGAGAGCCUUAGGCCCCCAAAGGCAUAAGUGAGGGAAGUCCAGGUUCGGCCGCCGAACCUCAUGUUCGGCUGCCGAACUUGCAUGCGUUGCGGAGGCACGUUCAGCUCCCGAAUGUGGCCUGGCCAGCCACCUAUAAAGGGGUCCCUUAGCCAAAAACGGGCGAGUUUUUCUCCCCAUUUUCGGCCAAGGUGAGCUCUCCGCCGUCCCUCACCGAUCUUGAGUUUCUUCCUUCCAUUCUUCAUGAUUUUUAUGAGUUUUCACCUUCGUUUUGAAGAUUUUCGAGUAUAAAGCAAGUUUUGAAGCUUUGAGGUUCAUGAAGCUCAAUCUCUCCCAUCUCCGAGCUAGGGUCGUUCUCCUCUCGAUCUUCAAGAGGUAAGGGCCGAUCUUGAGCUCAUUUUAUGUUUUAAACAAGUUUUAAGUUGAUCUUUGGGGUAGAAAUGCAUGUUUAGAUUUUUAGUUGGUUUAAGGGUUAUGUUAAGUUUUUGAGCAAUGUAUGAUGCUUGUGGUCGUUUGAUGUGUUGUAGAUGGGGUUUAGGAUAGUUUGAAGCCCCUAGGAGCUGAUGUAUGUAUCUAUGUAUGUUUUGAGUGAGUUGUAUGCUUGAUCUAAAAGGUUGGGAGACAACUGUGCAUGAGGAACCAAGUUUCUGCCCUUUGGCAGAAACUAGGUUCGGCAGCCGAAGGACUUUCGGCCGCCGAACCUGCUUGGGAGGCAAGCCUUUCGGCUACCGAAGCUUGCCCCCGAAAGAGGACUUUCGUCUCUGGAGGGUAGUUUCGGCCGCCGAAAGUGCCGCCGAACAUGCAUGAGUUUCGUCUCUGUCUAGGAGUUUCGGCCGCCGAAGGUGCCGCCAAACCUGCCUGACUUUCGGCUCUGGAGGGACUUUCGGCCGCCGAACCUGCCGCCGAAAGUGCCCUGUUUAGCCUUCCUUUGCAUGCUUCCCAUGGAUGUUUUGAGGUGUUUUAAGGGGGUUUUUGGGGGAUGUUUUAGAGUCAUGUUCUAGUAUGUUUGGUCCCUCAUUUGAGUCCACCUUUGUAGGUUCGGACCCGAGGAACCGAGGACCCCAGCAGUGACAGCUGCUUCAGAGUCUUGUCAGAGUCAGCCAGAGGUGAG
Molecule: long non-coding RNA, 8163 nt
Filed under: Manihot esculenta (cassava)
Lineage: Eukaryota; Viridiplantae; Streptophyta; Magnoliopsida; Malpighiales; Euphorbiaceae
Description: long non-coding RNA (MESC_LNC009814)
Source: RNAcentral